AUACGUAGGGGGCGAGCGUUGUCCGGAUUUACUGGGCGUAAAGGGUGAGUAGGCGGUUAUAUGUGUCAGAUGUAAAAGGCUAUGGCUUAACCAUAGUUAGCAUUUGAAACUGUAUGACUUGAGUGCAGGAGAGGUAAGUGGAAUUCCUAGUGUAGCGGGGAAAUGCGUAGAUAUUAGGAGGAACACCAGUGGCGAAGGCGACUUACUGGACUGUAACUGACGCUGAGUCACGAAAGCGUGGGUAGCAAACAGGAUUAGAUACCCUGGUAGUCCACGCUGUAAACGAUGAGUGCUAGGUGUUGGCCAGCGAUGGUCAGUGCCGCAGUAAACACAUUAAGCACUCCGCCUGGGGAGUACGGUCGCAAGACUGAAACUCAAAUGAAUUGGCGGGG
Molecule: ribosomal RNA, 392 nt
Filed under: uncultured bacterium
Lineage: Bacteria
Description: partial 16S ribosomal RNA
Rfam family: Bacterial small subunit ribosomal RNA
Source: RNAcentral